UAAGGAAUAUUGGUCAAUGGACGCAAGUCUGAACCAGCCAUGCCGCGUGAAGGAUGAAGGUCCUCUGGAUUGUAAACUUCUUUUAUCUGGGACGAAAACGGGAUUUUUAUCUCAAUUGACGGUACCAGAGGAAUAAGCACCGGCUAACUCCGUGCCAGCAGCCGCGGUAAUACGGAGGGUGCGAGCGUUAUCCGGAUUUACUGGGUUUAAAGGGUGCGUAGGUGGGCUUAUAAGUCAGUGGUGAAAUCUCCGAGCUUAACUUGGAAACUGCCGUUGAUACUAUAGGUCUUGAAUUAUCUGGAGGUAAGCGGAAUAUGUCAUGUAGCGGUGAAAUGCUUAGAUAUGACAUAGAACACCAAUUGCGAAGGCAGCUUACUACAUAUAAAUUGACGCUGAGGCACGAAAGCGUGGGUAGCGAACA
Molecule: ribosomal RNA, 421 nt
Filed under: uncultured bacterium
Lineage: Bacteria
Description: bacterial SSU rRNA
Rfam family: Bacterial small subunit ribosomal RNA
Source: RNAcentral